This is a long non-coding RNA of Gadus chalcogrammus (walleye pollock), 291 nucleotides long. RefSeq lists it as uncharacterized. The record is from RefSeq and is a predicted model, not a curated record. NCBI's taxonomy places the organism in Eukaryota, Metazoa, Chordata, Actinopteri, Gadiformes, Gadidae. The transcript has 4 exons.
AGAACGUGUGUGUACUGUUUUGUUGAGAUCUGUUGUGACUUAUUUAACAUCUCUUCCUGUUUCACAGGUUAAAGACUUUUUGAAGUAAAGAGGAGCAUCUCAUCUGAACCUGAUGUCUAUCAUGGAUAUUUAACUGCAGUUCUAGCCAGACCUCCACCUCCUCAACCAGAGCCAGACCUCCACCUCCUGUCAGAAGUCCUCCAGAACAGCUGAAAGGCGAGGCUGAGAGGCUGGGGACCGGAGGCUUGUGGUGCCACAAUUUACGUUUGUAAACAGACCAGGAAUCUGGAG